UGGCGGACGGGUGAGUAAUGUCUGGGAAACUGCCCGAUGGAGGGGGAUAACUACUGGAAACGGUAGCUAAUACCGCAUAACGUCGCAAGACCAAAGAGGGGGACCUUCGGGCCUCUUGCCAUCGGAUGUGCCCAGAUGGGAUUAGCUAGUAGGUGGGGUAAAGACUCACCUAGGCGACGAUCCCUAGCUGGUCUGAGAGGAUGACCAGCCACACUGGAACUGAGACACGGUCCAG
RNAcentral lists this ribosomal RNA (235 nucleotides) under uncultured bacterium. Its description in RNAcentral is "partial 16S ribosomal RNA". It matches the Rfam family "Bacterial small subunit ribosomal RNA", at positions 96 to 334 of the family's 1533-position model. The record is from RNAcentral.